CACGGUGGAGGGACUAUGUCUCUCACAUGGCCAGGGAAUGCCUUGGGAUUCCCCCGGAGGAGCUGGCCCAAGUGGCUGGGGAGAGGGAAGUCUGGGCCUCUCGCCUUAGGCUACUGUCCCUGUGACUCGACUCCGGAUAAGCAGAUGAAAAUGGAUGGAUUAAUGGACAAAAUCAAUAAUGAAACAAGCCCAAACAACACAAUAAAUCAAGUUAUACUAACAGGUAAAAUUCAACCCACAGAGUUAAAAGCCUGAUCACAAAAAUAGGUCUUCAGCAUUGUAAAAACUGCCAAAGAUGAGCACUUUAAGUCCAUCUAUUCAAGCCAAUAUACCGCUGACAGAUGGUUUAUGCAAGAUUUUGGUGGAUCAGUUCAUAAAGGUCACCUAAUCUUGAUUGGCAGACUGGAUAUAAAAGCUGAUAUGAGUUUGUGAUGCAGCGUCUCUGGUGAGAAAAAAAAUGACAAGAGAAUAGAGAGGAGCGAGUUUAAAGAGGAGUCAUCCCUGCUGGGAUUUUCACCAUUGCUAAAGGCAGAAUAAUUGCCACGGUGUGGUGAUUACGUAACAGAUAAUUACAGAUAAGUGGUGAACUAUUUCUCAAAAGAAAUCUCACUCAAGAGAUUCCAUCUGCAUUAUACAAAAACGUCUCCCAGUGAGUGAAAAGGGACUCAAAAAUGUAAGAUAAUUGUAAAGGGCUCAUUUACCACAGGGCCACCAGUGCUGAACGAUGUCCUGUAACAUGCAACACAAUCAUUCAUCAGACACGCUGCACAGAUCUGUCCAGGAGACUGCACGACUGAAUCACUGCACCUGUGUCGAUAUGUUGGAGUUUUAGACAUCUUGUGAGUUUAUAGGCUUGGAUCAAACGACACAGUAAAUCGCCUGAAGUAGAUCAUGAAUCGUGUUCAUGGAGAAACUCACAAGCUCAACGUUUUUCUGUUCAAUGUUAGAUUUUUGUGUGUGUGAAGAUUAAUGAUGAGUCAUGGGUAUGCACAGUGUGAUUGGAUCAAUGCUAUCAUGUCAUUGCAAAAUAAAAGGGAGUCAAUUUAACAAUUACAUGUCGUGUCUAAUAGUACAACAAUGUUCAAGUCACACGGAGGGAAAAUAAAGAACUGCACAGUUUGUUUGUUUUAAUGUUUGUAUGUAAUGUUUAAUGUAAGUAUUCAAUGUUUUUAUUUAUUUUAUUUAUCAACUAUGCAUUUUAGAAAAACUUCUCUAUUUCUUAGACUUUUAAAAAUAUAUCUCAUGAAACAGAUUUACAGUAAAGCCCUACACUUUAUUGAUUGAUUGCAUAUACAAUGCAUUUUAAAAGAUAUUAUUUAGCUGGUUAUGAACACAUGCAGGCUGUUUUUUCAGUUAAUAACAAUAAGCAUUUUUAAUAUUUUGCAUUUUAGCUAUUCAGUGUGAGCUUAAAAAUACUUUGUAGACCAUGUAACUAAUGGUAUAAUUUGUGGCAUUAUGGAAAACUGUUAUUUCAUUUUACAAUAAAAAGAGGAGGUAGCUGUGACAAAGCGUUCUUUUAUCCAACAAAAGUGCAGAACACUGAACUUCAACAGCAUUAGAAUUGAUGCAAUCACAACCAAAUCAAGUCAAACUAAAUCAAAUUUGAAACACCCAUCAUCGUUCAUUGGGUUUAGAUCAGUCCUGGCUCACACAUGGAGAUGAGGAGCAGCUGAACAUUUUAAUAGAGAGCAGCUCAGCUUUUUGAAACUGGAGGACCAUAAGAAAAUAAAUAAGAUUCACCUCAUUUCAUUUUCUUUAGUUUAUACACUGAGUGAUAAGGAUUUGGUGUUAUCUGUAUAAGCUUUCCACCACGGCUGAAAACUGUAAAUGCUCAUUGUAACAUGUUAAUUAAAAUGCUAAAGCAACAGACGUGACAUGAAGAUUGUAUUGUUUGUUUUAUGCAACAUCAGGAGCCCUAUGCAGAUAUUUUGGGAUGACAUCAGCUGCCACUGAGGAACAGCCAUCUACCUCCACUGCUCAUACCAGUAGGCCAGUAUUUGAACUCGAGGAGGGACAGUCUGCUGGCACCACAUCUCCCCAGGAAGAUACUUUAGAGAGACCUACCAGUAUAUGUGAACUUGAUGAGGGACAGCCAGCUGCCACGUCUCCCCAACAAGAUACGUCAGGUAAGUUUUGCACAAGUGUGUGUGUGUGUGUGUGUGUGUGUGUGUGUGUGUGUGUGUGUGUGUGUGUGUGUGUGUGUGUGUGUGUGUGUGUUUGUGUC
Nothobranchius furzeri (turquoise killifish) is the source of this 2224-nucleotide non-coding RNA. NCBI's taxonomy places the organism in Eukaryota, Metazoa, Chordata, Actinopteri, Cyprinodontiformes, Nothobranchiidae. The record is from RefSeq and is a predicted model, not a curated record.